AUUGAACGCUGGCUGCAUGCUUAACACAUGCAAGUCGAACGGCAGCAUGAGGAGCUUGCUCCUUGAUGGCGAGUGGCGGACGGGUGAGUACAAAUUAGGAAUCUGCCUUGUAGUGGGGGACAACACGGGGAAACUCGUGCUAAUACCGCAUACGCCCUUCGGGGGAAAGUGGGGGAUCUUCGGACCUCACGCUAUAAGAUGAGCCUAAUCCGGAUUAGCUUGUUGGUGAGGUAAAAGCUCACCAAGGCGACGAUCUGUAGCUGGUCUGAGAGGACGAUCAGCCACACUGGGACUGAGACACGGCCCAGACUCCUACGGGAGGCAGCAGUGGGGAAUAUUGGACAAUGGGGGCAACCCUGAUCCAGCAAUGCAGCGUGUGUGAAGAAGGCCUGCGGGUUGUAAAGCACUUUCAAUAGAGAAGAAAUGGUUAGGGUUAAUAACCCUGAUUUUUGACGUUAUCUAUACAAGAAGCACCGGCUAACUCCG
RNAcentral lists this ribosomal RNA (486 nucleotides) under uncultured Piscirickettsiaceae bacterium. RNAcentral describes it as "bacterial SSU rRNA". It matches the Rfam family "Bacterial small subunit ribosomal RNA", at positions 30 to 505 of the family's 1533-position model. Lineage: Bacteria; Pseudomonadati; Pseudomonadota; Gammaproteobacteria; Thiotrichales; Piscirickettsiaceae. The record is from RNAcentral.